Molecule: ribosomal RNA, 850 nt
Filed under: Polyporales sp. 'core polyporoid clade' MS1b
Lineage: Eukaryota; Fungi; Basidiomycota; Agaricomycetes; Polyporales
Description: eukaryotic LSU rRNA
Rfam family: Eukaryotic large subunit ribosomal RNA (bases 554-850)
Source: RNAcentral
UAUCGAGUUUUGAAAUGGGUUGUAGCUGGCCUUCCGGGGCAUGUGCACACCCUGCUCAUCCACUCUACACCUGUGCACUUACUGUAGGUGACUCUGGGAGGGCCAGCAUUAGCUGGCUUUCUUGUUGUUGCCUACGUUUUACUACAAACAAUUCAGUAUCAGAAUGUGUAUUGCGAUGUAACGCAUCUAUAUACAACUUUCAGCAACGGAUCUCUUGGCUCUCGCAUCGAUGAAGAACGCAGCGAAAUGCGAUAAGUAAUGUGAAUUGCAGAAUUCAGUGAAUCAUCGAAUCUUUGAACGCACCUUGCGCUCCUUGGUAUUCUGAGGAGCAUGCCUGUUUGAGUGUCAUGAAUCUCUCAACCUAUAAGUCCUUGCGGCUUACAGGAUUGGAAUUGGAGGCUUGCCGGCGAGUUAACAACCUGUCGGCUCCUCUCAAAUGCAUUAGCUUGAUUCCUUGCGGAUCGGCUCUCAGUGUGAUAAUUGUCUACGCUGUGACCGUGAAGCGUUUGGCUAGCUUCUAACUGUCUCUCUUAGAGACACUUAAUCUGACCUCUGACCUCAAAUCAGGUAGGACUACCCGCUGAACUUAAGCAUAUCAAUAAGCGGAGGAAAAGAAACUAACAAGGAUUCCCCUAGUAACUGCGAGUGAAGCGGGAAAAGCUCAAAUUUAAAAUCUGGCGGUCUUUGGCCGUCCGAGUUGUAGUCUGGAGAAGUGCUUUCCGCGCUGGACCGUGUAUAAGUCUCUUGGAACAGAGCGUCAUAGAGGGUGAGAAUCCUCUUUGACACGGACUACCAGUGCUUUGUGAUGCGCUCUCAAAGAGUCGAGUUGUUUGGGGAAUGCAGCUCAAAA